This 253-nucleotide ribosomal RNA is filed under the name uncultured bacterium. Its description in RNAcentral is "partial 16S ribosomal RNA". It matches the Rfam family "Bacterial small subunit ribosomal RNA", at positions 524 to 776 of the family's 1533-position model. The record is from RNAcentral.
UACGUAGGGUGCGAGCGUUGUCCGGAAUUAUUGGGCGUAAAGGGCUCGUAGGCGGUUUGUCGCGUCGGGAGUGAAAACCAGGUGCUUAACACCUGGCUUGCUUUCGAUACGGGCAGACUAGAGGUAUGCAGGGGAGACUGGAAUUCCUGGUGUAGCGGUGAAAUGCGCAGAUAUCAGGAGGAACACCGGUGGCGAAGGCGGGUCUCUGGGCAAUAACUGACGCUGAGGAGCGAAAGCGUGGGGAGCGAACAGG